Molecule: long non-coding RNA, 363 nt
Organism: Patiria miniata (bat star)
Lineage: Eukaryota; Metazoa; Echinodermata; Asteroidea; Valvatida; Asterinidae
Exons: 3
Source: RefSeq, a predicted model, not a curated record
AUUACCAAAUAAGGCUCUACAAACAUCAAUGAAGCUAUGUACGGUCGACAGUUGCCAUCUAGCGUGCACAAAUUAUGAUAAUGUGUGUUUUUUAUGCAGCGUGUGACUUGUGACCUGGAAUUCGUCAAGUCGCAACGUACGAAGUGUACAUGCAGUGUCAUGGCGUGACGAGUGGGGACCUUCGUGGCCAUGUUUUGGCAUGAUUUCGGAGAUUCAGACGGAAAUCUCAAAGACCUAUUGGUUGUCUCUCGGACGCUGUGGAGGAGGUUGGCCUACAUUUCUUAUUAUGCGGAGUGUACGGCAUUCCACCAUGACACGCAGAUGACGUACCCUGCCCUGACGAAGGAUACCUUCAGAAAAUUU